RNAcentral lists this ribosomal RNA (253 nucleotides) under uncultured bacterium. RNAcentral's name for it is "partial 16S ribosomal RNA". It matches the Rfam family "Bacterial small subunit ribosomal RNA", at positions 524 to 776 of the family's 1533-position model. The record is from RNAcentral.
UACGUAGGUGGCAAGCGUUAUCCGGAAUUAUUGGGCGUAAAGGGCGUGUAGGCGGGAAUGCAAGUCAGAUGUGAAAACUCAGGGCUCAACCCUGAGCCUGCAUUUGAAACUGUAUUUCUUGAGUGCUGGAGAGGCAAUCGGAAUUCCGUGUGUAGCGGUGAAAUGCGUAGAUAUACGGAGGAACACCAGUGGCGAAGGCGGAUUGCUGGACAGUAACUGACGCUGAGGCGCGAAAGCGUGGGGAGCAAACAGG